UGGGAUGAUGUCAAGUCAGCAUGGCCUUUAUAUCCUGGGCUACACACACGCUACAAUGGCAGAUACAAUAGGUUGCGAAACCGCGAGGUGGAGCCAAUCCUCAAAGUCUGUCUCAGUUCAGAUUGUAGGCUGCAACUCGCCUGCAUGAAGUUGGAGUUGCUAGUAAACGCAGGUCAGCUAUACUGCGUUGAACGUACCGUUCCCGGGGUUU
RNAcentral lists this ribosomal RNA (211 nucleotides) under uncultured Leptolinea sp. RNAcentral describes it as "partial 16S ribosomal RNA". It matches the Rfam family "Bacterial small subunit ribosomal RNA", at positions 1175 to 1382 of the family's 1533-position model. Lineage: Bacteria; Bacillati; Chloroflexota; Anaerolineae; Anaerolineales; Anaerolineaceae. The record is from RNAcentral.